Quercus lobata is the source of this 512-nucleotide long non-coding RNA. RefSeq lists it as uncharacterized. Lineage: Eukaryota; Viridiplantae; Streptophyta; Magnoliopsida; Fagales; Fagaceae. The record is from RefSeq and is a predicted model, not a curated record. The transcript is spliced from 3 exons.
UACCCCACCCAUUCCCACCACCUAUCUCACAAUUCUCCCUUAUCUCUUUGACUGGCUCCUCUCUUCUCAUUUUUUUUCUUUUUCUUCUUUUUCAUUUCCCGUCUAACACUUCUCUUCGCUCCCUCAAACUCUCCCGGCAAUACCUCCAUACCACCAUUUCCACCAUCACUUUCCGGUAAGAUCACCAGAAAAUUCUUGAGAACCCACAAGCACCUUCACAUCCUUUUUUUGAGGUUUGCUUGAUAUUGUUGAGGUUCUAGCUAAUCUCCUUUGGAGUUUGGAAAAUUAGGCUUUUUGCGGGUUGCAAGAAUGAAGUUGAAAACCUUGAGGGUAUGGGUGAGGCUGCUGUCCAUGGGGCCAACAGUCUGCAUACCAAAGAUGACAAUAUCAUGUCAGUUGUGAAUGGGUGGAUCCCUUGACCAGUCUAUGUGGUAAUGUGGUAUAUUUGUGAUAAUUUAUCUUAUGUUAGAUAUUAUGACUUUGGAAAUUAUAUUGUUGAUGCUCACAGAUUA